AAAUAUAAGCGAAUAAGGGCUUAAGUUGGAUACCUUGGCAUUCAGAAGCGAUGAAGGGCGUGUCUACCGACGAAACGCUUCGGGGAGCUAGAAGUAAGCUUUGAUCCGGAGGUUCCCGAAUGAGGAAACUCUUUAAACUGCAUAUUUAAUACAUAGGUAUGUAAGAGCGAACCUGGUGAAUUGAAACAUCUCAGUAACCAGAGGAAAAGAAAGCAAAAGCGAUUCCCAUA
This 230-nucleotide ribosomal RNA is filed under the name Teleaulax amphioxeia. RNAcentral describes it as "partial 23S ribosomal RNA". It matches the Rfam family "Bacterial large subunit ribosomal RNA", at positions 1 to 242 of the family's 2925-position model. Lineage: Eukaryota; Cryptophyceae; Pyrenomonadales; Geminigeraceae. The record is from RNAcentral.